RNAcentral lists this ribosomal RNA (501 nucleotides) under uncultured bacterium. RNAcentral's name for it is "partial 16S ribosomal RNA". It matches the Rfam family "Bacterial small subunit ribosomal RNA", at positions 30 to 523 of the family's 1533-position model. The record is from RNAcentral.
AUUGAACGCUGGCGGCAGGCUUAACACAUGCAAGUCGAGCGGGGGAAGGUAGCUUGCUACCGGACCUAGCGGCGGACGGGUGAGUAAUGCUUAGGAAUCUGCCUAUUAGUGGGGGACAACAUCUCGAAAGGGAUGCUAAUACCGCAUACGUCCUACGGGAGAGAGCAGGGGAUCUUCGGACCUUGCGCUAAUAGAUGAGCCUAAGUCGGAUUAGCUAGUUGGUGGGGUAAAGGCCUACCAAGGCGACGAUCUGUAGCGGGUCUGAGAGGAUGAUCCGCCACACUGGGACUGAGACACGGCCCAGACUCCUACGGGAAGCAGCAGUGGGGAAUAUUGGACAAUGGGGGGAACCCUGAUCCAGCCAUGCCGCGUGUGUGAAGAAGGCCUUAUGGUUGUAAAGCACUUUAAGCGAGGAGGAGGCUACUUUAGUUAAUACCUAGAGAUAGUGGACGUUACUCGCAGAAUAAGCACCGGCUAACUCUGUGCCAGCCGCCGCGGUAA